RNAcentral lists this long non-coding RNA (1148 nucleotides) under Manihot esculenta (cassava). Its description in RNAcentral is "long non-coding RNA (MESC_LNC011012)". Lineage: Eukaryota; Viridiplantae; Streptophyta; Magnoliopsida; Malpighiales; Euphorbiaceae. The record is from RNAcentral.
GAAUCAAAGACUACAAAGAAGACCAAAUCAAAUUGAGAUUACAAAACCCUAAUCAAAUUGGACUUGGGACUCUCCAGCUAUAAAAGGGCAGCAUCAAAGGCAUCUCAGGAUCAUCUCUUUCUGCAUCUGCCAUCUUCGGAAAUUCUCCAGCAACACAGCAGAAACUUUCCUUCUUUCUUUUCUUCUUUAUUUUUGUAUUUUAGUCACCAUGAGUGGCUAAAUUCAUUAUUUUCUAGUUUAAGUUGAGAAUAUUCAGAUUUGUGAUGAAUUGGGAGGUUUAAUACUCCAUUGUUGAACUCUUGUUUGUUUCAAUAUUUAUGCAAUCUGAUCUUUUCCAUAAUUAUUACUUUGCUUUUAGAAUCAAUAAGGGCCCAUUGCUUUUAAAUUGCUUAAGUGAUAAAUUGUUUGAAUGAUUUAGGUCCGUAAUUGCUUAAAUUGUUUGAACAUACAUACAAUCGGUUGCAUAACCUAGCCUUGACCACGCGGUUGACACGGAUAGAAUUGGGUUUCUCUAAGUCUUAAUGCGAUCAACGGUUGUUCGAUGCUAAAUGCCCCAAGGACGUUCCUUGGCAACUUGUUGAUCAGUGUUUGAUUAGCGAACGUUUCCUAAUCAAACUAGAACUAAGGAGGAAUUUGGAUUGUGAGAAGCGUCUUCCACAACCAAAACUGAUUUAUUGAAAUCAAAUAGGAGUCUUUAAUAAUCAAUGAUCAAUUCUGAACAAACUGAAUUAGGCUCACACUUCAGCUAGAAUCUCUUUCCCAUUGAUAUUCUCACUUAUUUAAAUUAUUCUUCUCUUUUGCUUUUAGCUUUUAACUCAUCAAAACAAACCCCCCCUCUUUUACUUAUUUGUUAUUACUUGCCUUAGUCAUUAUUAGGAAGAUACUUGGUGUCAAUUCCCUGUGGUUCGACCCUAUUGCCACUAUCUGCAAAUUUAUUUGUUGAUUGAUAAUAGGUUAUUUUUGACGGCUUCGACAACCGCUUAUCAGCAGGUGAUUUGGGCAAAUCACCCAGCCAAAUCACUGGCUGUCAUGGUCUGUGGGCAGAAAGUGUUGAACCAGCAGCUGCAACAUGCUUUCCAUGUGCUGCAUCCUGUCUUGAGCCUCCACCGAAUGGUCUUGAGGUGCCUUUUAUGUCCUCCAAGGUCCAC